Molecule: ribosomal RNA, 742 nt
Filed under: uncultured Methanomicrobiaceae archaeon
Lineage: Archaea; Methanobacteriati; Methanobacteriota; Methanomicrobia; Methanomicrobiales; Methanomicrobiaceae
Description: bacterial SSU rRNA
Rfam family: Archaeal small subunit ribosomal RNA
Source: RNAcentral
ACGGCUCAGUAACACGUGGACAACCUAACCUAUGGUGGGGGAUAACCCCGGGAAACUGGGGAUAAUACCCCAUAGACUAUGGAAGCUGGAAUGCUCUGUAGCCGAAAGGUCAGCCGCCGUAGGAUGGGUCUGCGGCCGAUUAGGUAGUUGUUGGGGUAACGGCCCAACAAGCCGGUAAUCGGUACAGGUUGUGGGAGCAAGAGCCCGGAGAUGGAUUCUGAGACACGAAUCCAGGCCCUACGGGGCGCAGCAGGCGCGAAAACUUUACAAUGCGGGAAACCGUGAUAAGGGAACUCCGAGUGCCCGUUAAAUCGGGCUGUCCACCAGUUUAAAUAACUGGUGAAGAAAGGGCCGGGCAAGACCGGUGCCAGCCGCCGCGGUAAUACCGGCGGCUCGAGUGGUGGCCACUAUUACUGGGCUUAAAGCGUUCGUAGCUGGUUUGUUAAGUCUCUGGGGAAAUCUUCCGGCUUAACCGGAAGGCGUCUCAGGGAUACUGGCAGACUAGGGACCGGAAGAGGUGAGGGGUACUCCAGGGGUAGGAGUGAAAUCCUGUAAUCCUUGGGGGACCACCUGUGGCGAAGGCGCCUCACCAGGACGGCACCGACAGUGAGGGGCGAAAGCUGGGGGAGCAAACCGGAUUAGAUACCCGGGUAGUCCCAGCCGUAAACGAUGUGCGUUAGGUGUAUCGGUGACCACGAGUCACCGAGGUGCCGAAGAGAAAUCGUGAAACGUACCGCCUGGG